This 96-nucleotide transfer RNA is filed under the name Pseudogymnoascus sp. VKM F-4520 (FW-2644). It matches the Rfam family "tRNA". Rfam says of the family: Transfer RNA (tRNA) molecules are approximately 80 nucleotides in length. Their secondary structure includes four short double-helical elements and three loops (D, anti-codon, and T loops). Lineage: Eukaryota; Fungi; Ascomycota; Leotiomycetes; Thelebolales; Thelebolaceae. The record is from Rfam by way of RNAcentral.
GGUUGUAUAGUGUAGUUGGUUAUCACAUCGGAUUCUGAUCAUGCGAGUCAUUCGCUAAUCAUUCCGGGGACCUGAGUUCGAAUCUCGGUACGACCU